Molecule: ribosomal RNA, 69 nt
Filed under: Serratia marcescens
Lineage: Bacteria; Pseudomonadati; Pseudomonadota; Gammaproteobacteria; Enterobacterales; Yersiniaceae
Description: partial 16S ribosomal RNA
Rfam family: Bacterial small subunit ribosomal RNA (bases 1-61)
Source: RNAcentral
GACUGGGGUGAAGUCGUAACAAGGUAACCGUAGGGGAACCUGCGGUUGGAUCACCUCCUUACCUAAAGA